CUUGUCAGGGGAUGAAAGGCGACUGGCUAAUGAUCGUAUAGAGACGGUCGGUCGUGCCGACACCCAUGAAAGCGAACACAUUCUCUAUCGGCGAGUGAGGCUUCUCCCACCCUACUCUCGGUGGGGCUUCGUUCGCCAAUUUUUGGAAGGGCCCCUCUCUAAAGGGGCCCCUCACCAGUUCAAGAAUACCAACCGUUUCCAAACUCUUUGUAAACUAAUUAAAUGUUUCUUUCGUCUAAUCAGUUUGGUAUGAAGCAUCAAUAAUAUUCUUUAAUAUUUAAACUUAUAAACAAACCAUUUACAGCAUGAGAUCCAAAGUUCAAUUAAAUUCUGAUUUGGUUGUAUUUAAACUGGUUCGGGUCGGACUUGGAACGAUAGCAGUAGCCGGGUAUGGGUUUUAAUGCUCCGAUACCCAUUACCCGUACGAUGGUGGCACAUUAGUCUUUUUCGCUAGGGUGGAUUUAAGACACCCUCUGCUUCCUCUUCUCCAGCGUUUCGCCGCCGCCUCUUCCCUCUGUCCCAGUUGCUUACGCCUUCUUCUCCCGUCGCCUGCAACGCCCUCUCCUCCUCUUCUUCUAUUAUCUGCUGCCUCCUUUCUCCACAUUCGAGCGGGCCGGUCUUGCCGUCGUCGUCCCCUGCGAUUCCAUGGUGGUGCCCAGCUGCCCUACUUGACCGCUUUCCCCUUCUCUGCUACAAUAUCUAUUUUCCGGCUUAACAUCAAACUUUCCUGCCGAUUUCUUAGUCUGCUGAUUUGUUGAGGAAAUAUAACUAGGUUUAAAAAUACGAUACUAUCGUGUAGCAUUGAAGUAAUUGAAUUAUAUGGUUUAGCAAGGGAGAGGUUGAGUUUGAGCCAACCUACUUUUAUUGAUUCAACCAUAGUAACAAAUGUUUAGUGAGUUAAACUUUGAUUUCCCUUAAAAUUUCGAGUUUCAACCAAUCUAGUGUUGACAUGAUCAAACCCAUUCCAAACACUUUACAUCAUUAUUUUCUGCGAUUAUUAAGCAGAACAGGUAGCCAGAGUUCAAACUUUCGAGUUAUUUUAAGCUGGUUUUGGCUGAUUAGUCCUUAAGCUCGAGUUCAACUGGAAGUCCCUGCGAGGGAGACGGCAUGGGAUCCCUGGAGAAGCCAUUCUCCUCGCAGCACAAUCUCCAGUUGAAUCUUGUGGCCACAUAAUGCAUCAUCACCAGUGUCUCCAUCCUUGCAAACUCAUUGCCGGGGCACAUCCUUGGCCCUCCACCAAAUGCCACAAAAGAGCAGGGAGGCACUGAUGACUGCUUCUCGAACCGCGUUGGAUCGAACUUAUUUGGAUCCUCAAAGAUAUGCUCGUCCAUCUGUGUGAUGCUUGAUGCCCAGAACACCUAAUCAUCACCCAGAAGUUGUAGCAGGAAAGGAAGAUGGAAAUGUGGAUCUUAUGUGAAGUAGUAGUAGCUCUCCUUACCAGCCACCCUUUCGGAAUGAGGUAACCUUCAUACUCGAUGUCUUUCAGCGCCCUUCUAAAGUUCCCAAAGAUCGGAGGAAUCAUUCUCAGAAUCUCCAUCGCUGCACACCAUGUGUGCUUCAUCUUGUUGAGAUCACUCCAUGUCAGGGCUUCUCCUGAGGCCUUCCCCUUUGCAAUCUCUUGUUGCUCUAUGAUCAUUGACACAAGGCAAAACCGGCAGGGGUCAUCAUAUAUACAUAGCAUGCAUCACAUCACGAUCGUUGAAGUUUAUUUGUUGCUUACCAUGGAUAACAAUCGUUCGGUUGACAGGAUCGUCGGCGAGGUGGCGGAUCAUGAAGGUGAUCAGAGCGGCAGAAGUAUCAUACCCGGCAAACAUGACGAGCAUUAGGUUGUCCAGAAUCUCC
Molecule: long non-coding RNA, 1842 nt
Filed under: Musa acuminata (dwarf banana)
Lineage: Eukaryota; Viridiplantae; Streptophyta; Magnoliopsida; Zingiberales; Musaceae
Description: long non-coding RNA (MACU_LNC004037)
Source: RNAcentral